Molecule: ribosomal RNA, 377 nt
Filed under: uncultured eukaryote
Lineage: Eukaryota
Description: partial 18S ribosomal RNA
Rfam family: Eukaryotic small subunit ribosomal RNA
Source: RNAcentral
CAAUAGCGUAUAUUUAAGUUGCUGCAGUUAAAAAGCUCGUAGUUGGAUUUCGGGUGGGAAUGGCCGGUCCGCCGUUUCGGUGUGCACUUGCUACGCCCACCUUGCUGCCGGGGACGUGCUCUUGAGUUCACGCUCGGGACACGGAGUCGGCGAGGUUACUUUGAGUAAAUUAGAGUGUUCAAAGCAGGCCUACGCUCUGAAUACAUUAGCAUGGAAUAACACGAUAGGACUCUGGCCUAUCUUGUUGGUCUGUAGGACCGGAGUAAUGAUUAAGAGGGACAGUCGGGGGCACUCGUAUUUCAUUGUCAGAGGUGAAAUUCUUGGAUUUAUGAAAGACGAACUACUGCGAAAGUAUUUGCCAAGGAUGUUUUCAUUAA